ACCAGUCCAAAUGCUAUACCGGUUAAACUCCGCCAUUUUGCCUCUUAGUGCUCAUGCUUGAGCCCGCUUGCCCAACUCCUGAGAUGUCAUCGGGAAGCUGCUGAUCAGCAAUUACAGAGAUGCUCUUCUCACCUCUCAUUCGGAAUCUACUCUCAAUUAUAUAUAAGACGGUCAAUAAUGAAACUCGUGGCCCAUCUGUCCUUCCGGUGUGCCCUGCACUGUGCUAAGAACUUCCCAUCCACUGGAUCUCACGGAGGUUCACAGUCAUCUGAAGAGGGGGUCCUGUGUUCACCUGCAUCUUGCAGAACACAGCAAGCAGUCACCGUCUAUGAACUAGAAAGCUGAUUCACCAGACACCGAAUCUGCCAGCACCUUGGUCUUGGACUUCCCAGCCUCCAGAACUAGGAAAUGUUCCAACACAUCUGAGGAAACACAUGCCUUCCCAGACUGGCCUGUUGCUGUUUCCCAGGAGCUGCAUUCUGGAAGGUGGACCAUCAGGUGGAAGAAGUAUUCUUCAGAGAGCUGCCUUCCCAAGGGAAUGGUGACAGCUUGCGCUUGCCGGGGAGUCCUGCUGCCUUCCGAGGUGUGAAGGGAAGGCAUGCACUGUGCAUAUGCUGUACCAUACAGUUUUGCCUACAACUGCUUGUAGCUUCAUUGUAGCUGUGAAUGCUCCGUUCCUCUCCUUUUCACCCCUGAAGAUUCGCGAACAUGCAGGAUUGAGCUGUGCGAGGCAUAGCAUUCCCCACAUGGUAGACGAAGGCGGAUGUGGGUCUGAUGGCUCUACUGCCGUCCACCCGGGAGGAUGGACGUGUGUUCCGGGAUAUCAGAGCUUGCGGCUGACCAGCCCACAUGUCCAUGCAGCCCUCCCGCUGGCUGUGUCGACAUUUUGGGUGUCACUGAAGGAUUUUACUGGUGCAGACUUUACAAAGGCAAAAUUGUUUCUCAAGGAAGUGGACAUGAAAGAUCUAAAAUCAGGGCUGCUUAAAAAAAGCAAGCACAGAUUAAUGACCUAUCUACAUCCUACACGGUUUUAGGACUGCGCCUAGAUGGGCUUAAAGACCCUAGCCUAAAAACUGUAAAUGUGCUUCCGUCUUUGCCCUGUAGGACAAGAAAGCCUUACGGGCUUGCUUCUAACUGUGAGAGGAGGAGAGGCCAGGAAGGGAGAGGGAGAAAAGGAGGAGAACAGGAGACGAGAAGGAGGGGAGAGUGAGGAGAGGAGGAGAGAGGCUUGUCAAAAUCUUUUUAGUGCACAAAACUAAUUUUGUUCAUCUUGGAUUUGGUGAGCUGGGUAAUAUUCUGUGCACGGCUCCUAAAUGAAUUAUUAAAUGUCAACUCAAGAUGGCUUAACUAAAAUACUCAAUUUAAUAACCAAAAGUAUCUAAGGUAACAACAACAAUUUUGCAGGUGAUUGUAGAGUUGUCAAGUCAAACCAUUAUAGACAAGCAUUUGGGGUUUUCACAUAAUCUCCUUCCACAUCUCAUCUUCUGUCACUAAAUACCCACUCUGGUGAGCAUAUUCCAUUUCAAUAAAGAUCAUCGCUUCG
RNAcentral lists this long non-coding RNA (1543 nucleotides) under Homo sapiens (human). Its description in RNAcentral is "long intergenic non-protein coding RNA 3103". The record is from RNAcentral. Lineage: Eukaryota; Metazoa; Chordata; Mammalia; Primates; Hominidae.